RNAcentral lists this ribosomal RNA (322 nucleotides) under Anopheles philippinensis. RNAcentral describes it as "eukaryotic LSU rRNA". It matches the Rfam family "Eukaryotic large subunit ribosomal RNA", at positions 675 to 936 of the family's 3401-position model. The record is from RNAcentral. Lineage: Eukaryota; Metazoa; Arthropoda; Insecta; Diptera; Culicidae.
GUGGUGCCAUCGCGCACUGCGCACAUGUAUAAACCCCACAGGCGUAGACAACUCGAACAAUGUCUUAGGGAUUACGGGUUCGGCAUGGCGYAAGCCUUCGUCGGGCCCCUCCAUCCCGGGGUGUCCCGCAUCGGGCUGUGUUCGCUCCUCACGGAGUGUUCGCUUCCCGAGUGGGCAUCCCUCGAGUGCGUAGGAUGCGACCCGAAAGAUGGUGAACUAUGCCUGAUCAGGCCGAAGUCAGGGGAAACCCUGAUGGAGGGCCGAAGCAAUUCUGACGUGCAAAUCGAUUGUCAGAGUUGGGCAUAGGGGCGAAAGACCAAUC